Long non-coding RNA from Physella acuta, 201 nucleotides. RefSeq lists it as uncharacterized. Lineage: Eukaryota; Metazoa; Mollusca; Gastropoda; Physidae. The record is from RefSeq and is a predicted model, not a curated record.
UGCCAGAGGAAAGAAAUCUGAUGAAUACCUAACAUCACCAAGGGUAGGAAUUGCCAGAGGAAAGAAAUAUGAUGAACAUCACCAAGAGUUGGAGUCGCUAGAGGCUAGAAGGCUAGAAAAUAGCCCAGAAAAAACUGUGUGAACUUCUUCAAAAGCGCGAUUGGAGUAUUGUUUUAGCUUCAAUGAAAAAAAUGUCAUCUA